This 254-nucleotide ribosomal RNA is filed under the name uncultured bacterium. RNAcentral describes it as "partial 16S ribosomal RNA". It matches the Rfam family "Bacterial small subunit ribosomal RNA", at positions 524 to 776 of the family's 1533-position model. The record is from RNAcentral.
UACGAAGGGGGCUAGCGUUGCUCGGAAUUACUGGGCGUAAAGCGCACGUAGGCGGCUUUCUAAGUCGGGGGUGAAAUCCUGGAGCUCAACUCCAGAACUGCCUUUGAUACUGAGGAUCUUGAGUUCGGGGAGAGGUGAGUGGAACUGCGAGUGUAGAGGUGAAAUUCGUAGAUAUUCGCAAGAACACCAGUGGCGAAGGCAGCUCGCUGGGACGUGACUGACGCUGAGACGCGAAAGCGUGGGGAGCAAACAGG